CUUACAGCUGAGGGGCUACUUCCGGGGGACAGUAUCCAGACCUGAACAGUGUGGUCCUAUUAAUGUCUACUUGGAGUAAAGCCCCUUCUGGUUCAGUGAGACGUUCUUCCAGGGAAGUCGGAAGAUACUGCCUUUUAGCCUUCUGCGUUUGCCUGUGCACAGGAAAUGACAACAGGAAAACCAUGCAUAAAUUGGAAGGUAUGGCAAGGCAGCCACAGUAGCUCUUGAGGGUUAGGUAAGUCAAGUCUUAGUUUUGGUGCAUAGGGUCAUCUGGUCUGUUCAUACCUGCCCUGAGGCUUGUCCCAACCAUAGCAUCAGGGCCAGUCCUACUAUUAGGCAG
Long non-coding RNA from Podarcis raffonei (Aeolian wall lizard), 340 nucleotides. RefSeq lists it as uncharacterized. The transcript has 3 exons. The record is from RefSeq and is a predicted model, not a curated record. NCBI's taxonomy places the organism in Eukaryota, Metazoa, Chordata, Lepidosauria, Squamata, Lacertidae.